GACGAACGCUGGCGGCGUGCUUAACACAUGCAAGUCGAACGGAAAGGCCUGCUUUCCCUUGUGGAUUGCGGGUACUCGAGUGGCGAACGGGUGAGUAAUACGUGAGUGAUCUGCCCCCAACUUGGGUAUAAGCCUGGGAAACUGGGUCUAAUUCCCGAUAGGACUGCAGGGUGGUGCCUGUGGUGGAAAACGAUUUUCUAGUGGUUGGGGAUGAGCUCGCGGCCUAUCAGCUUGUUGGUGGGGUAAUGGCCUACCAAGGCGGCGACGGGUAGCCGGCCUGAGAGGGUGGACGGCCACAUUGGGACUGAGAUACGGCCCAGACUCCUACGGGAGGCAGCAGUGGGGAAUAUUGCACAAUGGGCGGAAGCCUGAUGCAGCGACGCCGCGUGGGGGAUGACGGCCUUCGGGUUGUAAACUCCUUUCGACCGCGAGGAAGCCACCUGGUUGGAAGGGUGGUGACGGUAGUGGUAGAAGAAGCACCGGCUAACUACGUG
RNAcentral lists this ribosomal RNA (494 nucleotides) under uncultured bacterium. Its description in RNAcentral is "partial 16S ribosomal RNA". It matches the Rfam family "Bacterial small subunit ribosomal RNA", at positions 28 to 507 of the family's 1533-position model. The record is from RNAcentral.